AUUGAACGCUGGCGGCAUGCUUUACACAUGCAAGUCGAACGGCAGCGCGGGCUUCGGCCUGGCGGCGAGUGGCGAACGGGUGAGUAAUACAUCGGAACGUGCCCAGUAGUGGGGGAUAGCUCGGCGAAAGCCGGAUUAAUACCGCAUACGACCUGAGGGUGAAAGCGGGGGAUCUUCGGACCUCGCGCUAUUGGAGCGGCCGAUGGCAGAUUAGCUAGUUGGUGGGGUAAAGGCCUACCAAGGCGACGAUCUGUAGCUGGUCUGAGAGGACGACCAGCCACACUGGGACUGAGACACGGCCCAGACUCCUACGGGAGGCAGCAGUGGGGAAUUUUGGACAAAGGGCGAAAGCCUGAUCCAGCAAUGCCGCGUGUGUGAUGAAGGCCUUCGGGUUGUAAAGCACUUUUGGCGGGAACGAAAAGGACUGUGCCAAUACCACGGUUCGAUGACGGCACCCGCAGAAUAAGCACCGGCUAACUACGUG
Molecule: ribosomal RNA, 484 nt
Filed under: uncultured bacterium
Lineage: Bacteria
Description: partial 16S ribosomal RNA
Rfam family: Bacterial small subunit ribosomal RNA
Source: RNAcentral